AGGUGUUUCUACUGUUUUCUGGACGACUUUCUUCUCAUUUGGAGAAAAAGUCAUCAGGUUGCAUGGUUGUUGCACAGGUUGUGCAUACUUCUUACAUCCUGAAGAUUGGCCACAAUGCGAUGUCCUGAUGUCCCAAACAUCAUAUGCAGCGACACCGAGGGUGCGAUUAGGGUACGGCACAUGCACGGUAUGGAUUCAGAUUCAUCUUAUGACUCCUCUGCAGGGCCUCACCCCCCAGGUUUAAGAUGCCACAGCUGGUCCUCCGUACAACAGACUGUUCUCUGUUCCUGCCUCCUGCUGCCUUGAAGGGUUCAUUGUUGUUUUGUUCUUUUUUAUAAUUAUUAGAAUGUUUUAUGAUUAUUGUUGAGAGUUUUAGGCCUAUGUUAUACUGAAUUGUG
Molecule: long non-coding RNA, 398 nt
Organism: Thunnus maccoyii (southern bluefin tuna)
Lineage: Eukaryota; Metazoa; Chordata; Actinopteri; Scombriformes; Scombridae
Exons: 4
Source: RefSeq, a predicted model, not a curated record